UACAGAGGGUGCAAGCGUUGCUCGGAAUUAUUGGGCGUAAAGCGCGUGUAGGCGGUUUCCUAAGUCUGGUGUGAAAUCCCGGGGCUUAACCCCGGAACUGCAUUGGAUACUGGGAAGCUAGAGGACGAGAGAGGAUGGUGGAAUUCCUGGUGUAGGGGUGAAAUCCGUAGAUAUCAGGAGGAACAUCGGUGGCGAAGGCGGCCAUCUGGCUCGUACCUGACGCUGAGACGCGAAAGCGUGGGUAGCAAACAGG
RNAcentral lists this ribosomal RNA (253 nucleotides) under uncultured bacterium. Its description in RNAcentral is "partial 16S ribosomal RNA". It matches the Rfam family "Bacterial small subunit ribosomal RNA", at positions 524 to 776 of the family's 1533-position model. The record is from RNAcentral.